AACGGGGACGCUGAAAACCGAAAACAGAGUAAGCA
This 35-nucleotide non-coding RNA is filed under the name unclassified sequences. RNAcentral's name for it is "DUF805b RNA". It matches the Rfam family "DUF805b RNA". Rfam says of the family: Bacteroidetes, Chlorobi (1 example), Proteobacteria. Lineage (Flavobacteria) The record is from RNAcentral.